GACGAACGCUGGCGGCGUGCUUAACACAUGCAAGUCGAACGGAAAGGCCCUGCUUUUGUGGGGUGCUCGAGUGGCGAACGGGUGAGUAACACGUGAGUAACCUGCCCUUGACUUUGGGAUAACUUCAGGAAACUGGGGCUAAUACCGGAUAGGAGCUCCUGCUGCAUGGUGGGGGUUGGAAAGUUUCGGCGGUUGGGGAUGGACUCGCGGCUUAUCAGCUUGUUGGUGGGGUAGUGGCUUACCAAGGCUUUGACGGGUAGCCGGCCUGAGAGGGUGACCGGGCACAUUGGGAAUGAGAUACGGCCCAGACUCCUACGGGAGGCAGCAGUGGGGAAUAUUGCACAAUGGGCGGAAGCCUGAUGCAGCAACGCCGCGUGCGGGAUGACGGCCUUCGGGUUGUAAACCGCUUUCGCCUGUGACGAAGCGUGAGUGACGGUAAUGGGUAAAGAAGCACCGGCUAACUACGUG
RNAcentral lists this ribosomal RNA (468 nucleotides) under uncultured bacterium. Its description in RNAcentral is "partial 16S ribosomal RNA". It matches the Rfam family "Bacterial small subunit ribosomal RNA", at positions 28 to 507 of the family's 1533-position model. The record is from RNAcentral.